CACUCAGAAAACCAAAAAAAUGAAGUUAUAAAAGUCUGCAAUUUUGUCGUAGCAAUGGUAGCGCCAGUGAAGAUCCAUGGUGGAAAGUGCUAUUUGGAAAUUGGAAUGGUAGAAAUGGAGAAUGAAAGAUGGUGAAUAACAUGUCCGAAAAUCAGCCUAAUCGAAUUAUGGAAAGAGGCUGAGACAGUGGAAAAAGCCAUGGUUUGUAGCUUUGGAUCUAUGGCUUUUGAAGAGGAUUCGUGAAAAUUUAAGCCUAGAUCCAAUAUGAGGAGAUAAAUGUGAACUUUUUGGUGAAAUUUGGAAGCCAACUGGUGUAGUAAGUGGCAACCGAUGGCAACCAGGUGAGUGGUGGUGAUAGCGGUGGAGUGUUGUCGAGUUUUGGAAAUUUGAAGAACACGGUGG
RNAcentral lists this long non-coding RNA (402 nucleotides) under Durio zibethinus. RNAcentral's name for it is "long non-coding RNA (DZIB_LNC000753)". The record is from RNAcentral. Lineage: Eukaryota; Viridiplantae; Streptophyta; Magnoliopsida; Malvales; Malvaceae.